This 482-nucleotide ribosomal RNA is filed under the name uncultured bacterium. Its description in RNAcentral is "partial 16S ribosomal RNA". It matches the Rfam family "Bacterial small subunit ribosomal RNA", at positions 28 to 523 of the family's 1533-position model. The record is from RNAcentral.
GACGAACGCUGGAGGCGUGCUUAACACAUGCAAGUCGAACGAUGAAAUGGAGCUUGCUCCAUGGAUUAGUGGCGAACGGGUGAGUAACACGUGAAUAACCUGCCCUUAAUUUUGGAAUAACCCAGGGAAACCUGGGCUAAUACCGGAUAAGUAAACCUGUGGCAUCACAUGGUUCCGGAAAGUUUUUCGAUUAAGGAUGGAUUCGCGGCCUAUUAGCUUGUUGGUGAGGUAAUGGCUCACCAAGGCGACGACGGGUAGCCGGCCUGAGAGGGUGAACGGCCACACUGGGACUGAGACACGGCCCAGACUCCUACGGGAGGCAGCAGUGGGGAAUAUUGCGCAAUGGAAGAAAGUCUGACGCAGCGACGCCUCGUGAGGGACGAAGGUCUUCGGAUUGUAAACCUCUUACAGCAGGGACGAAGCGAAAGUGACGGUACCUGCAGAAGAAGCACCGGCUAACUAUGUGCCAGCCGCCGCCGUAA